This 642-nucleotide ribosomal RNA is filed under the name uncultured bacterium. Its description in RNAcentral is "bacterial SSU rRNA". It matches the Rfam family "Bacterial small subunit ribosomal RNA", at positions 578 to 1223 of the family's 1533-position model. The record is from RNAcentral.
GUUUAGUAAGUCGGUGUNNNACUCUGGGCUCAACCCGGAGAGGCCAUGNGAUACUGCUGUGACUUGAGUUCAGGAGGGGAGCGGGAAUUCCUAGUGUAGCGGUGAAAUGCGCAGAUAUUAGGAGGAACACCGGUGGCGAAGGCGCCGCUCUGGACUGAAACUGACGCUGAGGAGCGAAAGCAUGGGUAGCAAACAGGAUUAGAUACCCUGGUAGUCCAUGCCGUAAACGGUGGGCACUAGGUGUGGGUUCCAACUAACGGGAUCCGCGCCGUCGCUAACGCAUUAAGUGCCCCGCCUGGGGAGUACGGUCGCAAGACUAAAGCUCAAAGGAAUUGACGGGGGCCCGCACAAGCAGCGGAGCGUGUUGCUUAAUUCGAUGCUACGCGAAGAACCUUACCUGGGUUUGACAUGUUUGGAAAAGCCACAGAGAUGUGGUGUCCGCAAGGGCCAAACACAGGUGGUGCAUGGCUGUGGUCAGCUCGUGUCGUGAGAUGUUGGGUUAAGUCCCGCAACGAGCGCAACCCCUAUUCUCGUUGCCAGCAAGUAAUGUUGGGGACUCAUGGAAGACCGCCGGGGUCAACUUGUAGGAAGGUGGGGAUGACAUCAAAUACUCAUACCCGUAAUGUCCAAGUCUACAAACAC